RNAcentral lists this ribosomal RNA (433 nucleotides) under uncultured bacterium. RNAcentral's name for it is "partial 16S ribosomal RNA". It matches the Rfam family "Bacterial small subunit ribosomal RNA", at positions 29 to 507 of the family's 1533-position model. The record is from RNAcentral.
AACGAACGCUGGCGGCAGGCCUAACACAUGCAAGUCGAGCGAGGACUUCGGUCCUAGCGGCGGACGGGUGAGUAACGCGUGGGAACGUGCCCUUUGCUUCGGAAUAGCCCUGGGAAACUGGGAGUAAUACCGGAUGAGCCCUUUGGGGGAAAGAUUUAUCGGCGAAGGAUCGGCCCGCGUUGGAUUAGGUAGUUGGUGGGGUAAUGGCCUACCAAGCCGACGAUCCAUAGCUGGCUUGAGAGGAUGAUCAGCCACACUGGGACUGAGACACGGCCCAGACUCCUACGGGAGGCAGCAGUGGGGAAUCUUAGACAAUGGGGGAAACCCUGAUCUAGCCAUGCCGCGUGAGCGAUGAAGGCCUUAGGGUUGUAAAGCUCUUUCAGCUGGGAAGAUAAUGACGGUACCAGCAGAAGAAGCCCCGGCUAACUCCGUG